GACUCCCCUCCCUUACCUUGCUUUUUAAAAUGCUUUGCUGAAAUCCAGUGGGAAGUGUUGACUUUUUGAGCAUGAGCUAUCCCAGACUCCAGGCUUGGUGCCCUGCAAUAAAUGCUGCAGUUCUGUUCACCACAACUCAGUUUGAAGCAUAUAUUUUGGAGAAUCUGGAGGGUGGAAGAUUUCAUGUAUUAAAGAGCAAGGCCCACUUGGCAAAAUCCAGGUGUUUUACAACUGAACAGGACAUUAAGCAUUGGAUUAUUCUAUCAAGUUCUAAAUUUAAGACCUCCUUAUUCUCAGAAGAGACAGACCAUUCUUACAAAAUUGGGACUGCUCAGCCCUCCUAUUUUAAUUCAAGAACUGGUGGGUGGUUGUCUCCCAUUACUGAGCAAAUGUGCUGGACUCUGUCAAGACAUAGAAGGACUGGGAAUAGCUGAUAAAGCCUCUGUGAGCAGUUUUCGGGAGGAAAGACUGGGAGGAAAUGUACAAAAUAACAAAGCUGACGUCCCACUGCAAGACCCAGAAGUAGAGUUUCU
RNAcentral lists this long non-coding RNA (533 nucleotides) under Capra hircus (goat). RNAcentral describes it as "lncRNA (ENSCHIG00000002540.1)". The record is from RNAcentral. Lineage: Eukaryota; Metazoa; Chordata; Mammalia; Artiodactyla; Bovidae.